CUCCUUCCGCUCUUCCAGAGUCGCAGACACAAGGGACAGCUCCCCAAAGAGGGAGACCAGCCAGGUCAGGCGAGAGAUGCCGCUGAAGGCGGGGAAGCCAAACCGCCCCUCUUCCAAAGGGCCAGCUGUGGGGAACCAGACACGGCGGGGCCUGGAGCUUUCACUGCCUGUACGACUGGUGGCUUAGCCGAGAAAUCACUGCCAAGACCAAUUCAAGGAUGUUUCCCUGUUUUCUUCUGAGAGUUUUACAGUUUCAGGUAUGACCGUAAAAAGAAAAAAACAUGUGUCUUCUACCGCUGUUGGAUGUACUGCUCCUUAAGCCUGUUAGAUCAAGAUGGUAGUCACUCAAGUCUCCUAUCGCCUUACGGAUUUCCUGCCCAUUUACUCUAUCAGUCAUUGAAAGGUACUGGAAUCUUUGACUGUGAUUUAGAUUUGUGUCUUUUUCUUUACCGUCCUGUCAGUUUUUGACUUAUGUAUUUCAAAGCUCUAUUGUUAGGUAUAUACAUGUUUAGGGUAAUUUUGUCAUCUUGAUCAAUUGACCACUUCAUCAUUCCGAAAUAACCGUUUUUAUUCCUGGUAGUAUUCUUCGUCCUGAAAUUUGUCUGUUAUUGACAAUCCACGACCAGUUUCCACUGAUCUGAGCGAGCACACUUAGGACAUUUUUUCCAACCUUUACUUUUUUUUCCUUUUUCUUUUUACCGCCACACCUGCCGCAUAUGG
Non-coding RNA from Sus scrofa (pig), 720 nucleotides. The record is from RefSeq and is a predicted model, not a curated record. NCBI's taxonomy places the organism in Eukaryota, Metazoa, Chordata, Mammalia, Artiodactyla, Suidae.